UACCCUGAAAUUAAAAAAAUAAAUUACAUACUGGUUUGACCACAAAACAAAAACAAAAACUUAAACCGUACUAUGACUCCAUUGUGGAGUCCCAUGGUGCCGUGCGGCGGGGCAGUCGUCGCGCCUGCGCAGUGCAGGCGGCGGGCCGUGAUGAGCGGGAGGCCCCAGCGUUGGGCUGAGGAGAGGCGGGCGACCCGGGCCUUCCGUGGGCUAUGCUGCUUCAGUGAGGGGCUGCACCGCGGCCACCCGGCUUGUUGCUUUCCUGGGCCCAACUCCCCGGCUGGCCCGAGGCAACGCGCCAGUAGCGUGACGGCAAUUCCUCUCAGGUUUUGGGGCGCUGCUCUGAGCAGCAGCGUCACCCGUCAGCCCAGAAAGCUGGAGGCCAAGGAAGCCAGAGUGCCCGCAGGUGGUCGUGUCCUUCUCUGAGGACAGGCUGGCUGGCGUUCCUGCCCCUCGGAGGAAGACGACAAAAAAGCAGCAGUCUACAUGACACCUGUGGACAAGGGGGGCUACAGUAGGAGGACUCCACAAGCAAGCAGCAGAUCCCUGUGAUGAAGUCGAUUUUGUGAAGUUGAUGCACAGAAGUUGACAAUUGAAGUUGAUGCAGAUCACGGACUUCUCUGGCAAUGUCAUUGGGCAGGAGUGAUGGGGGAGCUUUUCCCCAAGGCUUGAGAGGUGAGAGUCACAAAGCUGAUGUCUAAUGCUAUGGAUUGCAGUAUUCCAGCGCCAAAUGAGGGGUUCUAAGUGACAGGAGUGCCUACAGUUUCUGUAAUACAUUUCUUUUUGCAUGUACGAUUGUGAGACGCAGAGAUCUCAACUAUGGGGCCUAGGCCUGAGGACAGUUCUAUUCUAAGGACACACUUCUUUUCAAAUCUGCCCUGUUAAUAGUCAAGAUAAAGUCAUUCAAUGUUUGUGAAAAAUAGAAUUAUAUAUGCUGAUAGACAGGCCAAGAGUAUAAAUAGUUAUUUCCCUCUUACUAAAACUUGUUUAUAAUGCUUACAGAAUUAUUUUAAGUUACUUUGUGUGCCAUGUGGUUAAACAAGAAAGUAAAAGCUUACUGCCAUGAAAAUAAAUAUCCCUGGCUGGCACUACUUCAGUAAUUUACCUAGCCUAAGGUCAUUCUAAAGCAGUUUAAAUGCAUCAUUAAUCCACAAUCCUCUAAAACACUAAAAUACUUAAAUAAAUUACAAUGGAGUAGGAUGAGCCUGAAGAGAGGAAAAAACUGUCAAGAUAUGAUACAUUUACAUGAUGCAGAAAAAAGUCUCUAAGACUCAUGAAUAAAUUAUUUCUGAAAUGAAAGGCAUGAUAAAGAGCCUAGAGGACAUGAUACAUCCAGUUUCAUUUGGUCCAGAAAGAUUAAGUAAAUGAAUCUUGGAUUUCACCUUUCUGCUUGUGAAUUUUCAUUCUCUUACUUUUAACCUUGGUAACUCAAAAUUUUCAUGUUCA
Molecule: non-coding RNA, 1446 nt
Organism: Microcebus murinus (gray mouse lemur)
Lineage: Eukaryota; Metazoa; Chordata; Mammalia; Primates; Cheirogaleidae
Source: RefSeq, a predicted model, not a curated record